RNAcentral lists this ribosomal RNA (372 nucleotides) under uncultured organism. RNAcentral's name for it is "bacterial SSU rRNA". It matches the Rfam family "Bacterial small subunit ribosomal RNA", at positions 526 to 896 of the family's 1533-position model. The record is from RNAcentral.
CGUAGGUGGCAAGCGUUGUCCGGAUUUACUGGGCGUAAAGGAUGCGUAGGUGGAUAUUUAAGUGGGAUGUGAAAUACCCGGGCUCAACUCGGGUGCUGCAUUCCAAACUGGAUAUCUAGAGUGCAGGAGAGGUAAGUGGAAUUCCUAGUGUAGCGGUGAAAUGCGUAGAGAUUAGGAAGAACACCAGUGGCGAAGGCGACUUACUGGACUGUAACUGACACUGAGGCAUGAAAGCGUGGGGAGCAAACAGGAUUAGAUACCCUGGUAGUCCACGCCGUAAACGAUGGGUACUAGGUGUGGGAGGUAUCGACCCCUUCCGUGCCGCCGUUAACACAAUAAGUACCCCGCCUGGGGAGUACGGUCGCAAGAUUA